This 627-nucleotide long non-coding RNA is filed under the name Zea mays. Its description in RNAcentral is "MIR393aHG (LOC115032958)". The stretch from base 100 to 205 matches the Rfam family "mir-393 microRNA precursor family". Lineage: Eukaryota; Viridiplantae; Streptophyta; Magnoliopsida; Poales; Poaceae. The record is from RNAcentral.
ACGUCCUCGCUUUCCCUUCCUCCCAGCUGCCUGCCCCCCCUUCCCUACCCUAGCUACGCACGCUACCAGCUGCCCCCCAUCCAUGCCGUCCAGGAAGCUGGUGGAGGACUCCAAAGGGAUCGCAUUGAUCUAUUCUCACCUGCCGCCUGCUGCAUGCGAUGCGAGUCGACGACAAGAUCAGUGCAAUCCCUUUGGAAUUUUCCACUCGCGCCUUCACCCCCGCCGCACGUGCCACACGCCCCUCCAUCUUCCAUGGAUUCCAUCUCUCAUCAGGGUAAAGGUCCAGACAGGACCCAUUUAAGAGGAUUGAAUAUGCCUGCAGCGGUCGGCCGCCCCAACUGCACCUGCACGCGCAUCAGUGUAUUUCGAUCAACUCUCUCUGUCCUUUCUGCUUUCUCCAAAUUAAUACACUUAUUCCUCAGACGACACUGUCGCUCACUAGUCAAAGCAGUAUCUAGUUUUUACCACUUUAGAGUGAAAGAUACAUAUAUUUUUAAAAUACUCUGUUUAGCAUUACAUUACAUUGUAAUAUUCAGUUUUGAUUGUGAAUUGGAGAUGACAGCAUUAAGAAGACAAAUUGAUGAUGAGAUUACUGUUCGCCAAUUCAUGAUGAGAUUUUCAAAUUCA